RNAcentral lists this ribosomal RNA (253 nucleotides) under uncultured bacterium. Its description in RNAcentral is "partial 16S ribosomal RNA". It matches the Rfam family "Bacterial small subunit ribosomal RNA", at positions 524 to 776 of the family's 1533-position model. The record is from RNAcentral.
UACGGAGGAUGCGAGCGUUAUCCGGAUUUAUUGGGUUUAAAGGGUGCGUAGGCGGAUCAUUAAGUCAGUGGUGAAAUCUUUCGGCUCAACUGGAAAAUUGCCAUUGAUACUGAUGAUCUUGAAUGCAGUUGAGGUAAGCGGAAUGUGUAAUGUAGCGGUGAAAUGCUUAGAUAUUACACAGAACACCGAUUGCGAAGGCAGCUUGCUAAACUGUGAUUGACGCUGAGGCACGAAAGCGUGGGGAUCAAACAGG